RNAcentral lists this ribosomal RNA (109 nucleotides) under Bacillus pumilus. RNAcentral describes it as "partial 23S ribosomal RNA". It matches the Rfam family "Bacterial large subunit ribosomal RNA", at positions 2820 to 2925 of the family's 2925-position model. RNAcentral also lists the same sequence under 1 other name. The record is from RNAcentral. Lineage: Bacteria; Bacillati; Bacillota; Bacilli; Caryophanales; Bacillaceae.
GCAAGGAAGUAAGAUCCCUGAAAGAUGAUCAGGUUGAUAGGUCUGAGGUGGAAGCGUGGUGACACGUGGAGCUGACAGAUACUAAUAGAUCGAGGACUUAACCUAUAUU